RNAcentral lists this ribosomal RNA (253 nucleotides) under uncultured bacterium. RNAcentral's name for it is "partial 16S ribosomal RNA". It matches the Rfam family "Bacterial small subunit ribosomal RNA", at positions 524 to 776 of the family's 1533-position model. The record is from RNAcentral.
UACGUAGGGGGCUAGCGUUGUCCGGAAUCAUUGGGCGUAAGGAGCGUGUAGGCGGCCCGGUAAGUCAGCUGUAAAAGUCAAAGGCUCAACCUUUGAAUGUCAGUGGAUACUGCCGGGCUAGAGUCCGGAAGAGGCGAGUGGAACUCCUGGUGUAGCGGUGGAAUGCGCAGAUAUCAGGAAGAACACCAACGGCGAAGGCAGCUCGCUGGGACGGUACUGACGCUGAGACGCGAAAGCGUGGGGAGCGAACAGG